AACAUGUCUUUUUGUAAAUAAUUUAAGGUUUAAUCUGCCCACUGAUGAAAAUUGAAGGGCUGCAGUAUAUUGACUGUACAAAGGUAGCAUAAUCAAUAGUCUUUUAAUUGAAGACUUGUAUGAAUGAUUUGAUGAAAUAUAAACUGUCUCUGAUUUAAAUAUAGAAUUUAAUUUUUUAGUCAAAAAGCUAAAAUGAUUUUAAAAGACGAGAAGACCCUAUAGAGUUUUAUAUUUAAAUUAUUUAAUAUUUUAUAUAUAAAUUAUAAUAAAAAUUAAUUAAAAUAUUUUAUUGGGGUGAUAGAAAAAUUUAAGAAACUUUUUUUUAAAAAAAUCAUAAAUAAAUGAAAUAAUGAUCCAUAAUUAAUGAUUAAAAGAAAAAAUUACCUUAGGGAUAACAGCGUAAUUUUUUUUUUUAGUUCAAAUAAGAAAAAGAGAUUGCGACCUCGAUGUUGGAUUAAGAUAAAAUUUAAAUGCAAAAGUUUAAAAUUUUGAUCUGUUCGAUCAUUAAAAUCUUACAUGA
RNAcentral lists this ribosomal RNA (520 nucleotides) under Parantica aglea (glassy tiger). RNAcentral's name for it is "partial 16S ribosomal RNA". The stretch from base 391 to 520 matches the Rfam family "Bacterial large subunit ribosomal RNA", at positions 2473 to 2603 of the family's 2925-position model. Lineage: Eukaryota; Metazoa; Arthropoda; Insecta; Lepidoptera; Nymphalidae. The record is from RNAcentral.